CAUCAGCUUGACGGUAGGGUAUUGGCCUACCGAGGCAGCAACGGGUAACGGGGAAUUAGGGUUCGAUUCCGGAGAGGGAGCCUGAGAAACGGCUACCACAUCUAAGGAAGGCGGCAGGCGCGCAAAUUACCCAAUCCUGACACAGGGAGGUAGUGACAAGAAAUAACAAUACAGGGCUUUCGUCUUGUAAUUGGAAUGAUGGUGAUGUACAACCUCACCAGAGUACCAAUUGGAGGGCAAGUCUGGUGCCAGCAGCCGCGGUAAUUCCAGCUCCAAUAGCGUAUAUUAAACUUGUUGCAGUUAAAAAGCUCGUAGUUGUAUUUCAGCCUCGCGUUUUUUCCCACUUUUUGGGUCUUUUCGCUGGCUUUCUUUUUACUUUGAGAAAAUUAGAGUGUUUCAAGCAGACUUUUGUCUUGAAUACUUCAGCAUGGAAUAAUAGAGUAGGACCUUGGUUCUAUUUUGUUGGUUUUGAGCCUUGGUAAUGGUUAAUAGGAACGGUUGGGGGCAUUCGUAUUUAACUGUCAGAGGUGAAAUUCUUAGAUUUGUUAAAGACGAACCACUGCGAAAGCAUUUGCCAAGGAC
RNAcentral lists this ribosomal RNA (582 nucleotides) under Babesia bigemina. RNAcentral describes it as "SSU rRNA". It matches the Rfam family "Eukaryotic small subunit ribosomal RNA", at positions 313 to 965 of the family's 1831-position model. Lineage: Eukaryota; Apicomplexa; Aconoidasida; Piroplasmida; Babesiidae. The record is from RNAcentral.